CCUACGGGAGGCAGCAGUGAGGAAUAUUGGUCAAUGGGCGGAAGCCUGAACCAGCCAUGCCGCGUGAAGGCUAGUGCCCUACGGGCGUUAAACUUCUUUUGUGCGGGAGCAAUAAUGGCCACGCGUGGCCCGAUGAGAGUACCGUACGAAUAAGCAUCGGCUAACUCCGUCCCAGCAGCCGCGGUAAUACGGGGGAUGCAAGCGUUAUCCGGAUUUUUUGGGUUUAAAGGGUGCGGAGGCGGGGGUUUAGGUCAGCGGUGAAAUACCGGGGUUCAACCCGGGGAGUGACGUUGAUACCGGGGCGCUAGAAUGCCGAUGCCGUAGGAGGAAUGUGUGGUGUAGCGGUGAAAUGCAUAGAUAUCACACAGAACACCGAGUGCGAAGGCAUCUGACGAAUCGGCGAUUGACGCUGAUGCACGAAAGCGUGGGUAUCGAACAGGAUUAGAUACCCGAGUAGUC
This 459-nucleotide ribosomal RNA is filed under the name uncultured bacterium. RNAcentral describes it as "partial 16S ribosomal RNA". It matches the Rfam family "Bacterial small subunit ribosomal RNA", at positions 338 to 795 of the family's 1533-position model. The record is from RNAcentral.